This 274-nucleotide ribosomal RNA is filed under the name uncultured bacterium. Its description in RNAcentral is "partial 16S ribosomal RNA". It matches the Rfam family "Bacterial small subunit ribosomal RNA", at positions 523 to 796 of the family's 1533-position model. The record is from RNAcentral.
AUACAGAGGGUGCAAGCGUUAUUCGGAAUUACUGGGCGUAAAGCGCGCGUAGGCGGAUGAUUAAGUCAGUUGUGAAAGCCCUGGGCUCAACCUAGGAACUGCAUCUGAUACUGGUCGUCUAGAGUUUAAGAGAGGGAAGUGGAAUUCCAGGUGUAGCAGUGAAAUGCGUAGAUAUCUGGAGGAACAUCAGUGGCGAAGGCGACUUCCUGGCUUAAAACUGACGCUGAGGUGCGAAAGCGUGGGUCGCGAACGGGAUUAGAAACCCGAGUAGUCC